GCUGGGUUACCCAAGCGGCAACGGGGCGUGGCUGUAAACCACGUGGCCUUCGGCCUUCGGGGGUUCGAGUCCCUCACCCAGCACGA
RNAcentral lists this transfer RNA (86 nucleotides) under Candidatus Terrybacteria bacterium RIFCSPLOWO2_01_FULL_58_14. RNAcentral describes it as "tRNA-Tyr". It matches the Rfam family "tRNA". From Rfam's summary of the family: Transfer RNA (tRNA) molecules are approximately 80 nucleotides in length. Their secondary structure includes four short double-helical elements and three loops (D, anti-codon, and T loops). Lineage: Bacteria; Candidatus Terryibacteriota. The record is from RNAcentral.